Hyphomonas neptunium ATCC 15444 is the source of this 66-nucleotide regulatory RNA element. It matches the Rfam family "terC RNA". The record is from Rfam. NCBI's taxonomy places the organism in Bacteria, Pseudomonadati, Pseudomonadota, Alphaproteobacteria, Hyphomonadales, Hyphomonadaceae.
UAUGCGGACCGGGCCCCUCUGGCAAUUGAUCCCCUGAAGGAUCUGUUGCGAUGUCGGACCGCAUCG